UGGCUAUAUAGGUCUUGUAGAGGAGAAACAGGCGCAUCGUUUGCGCAAGGUUUUGAGUGGCGCUAUGUUCAAAAAUCUGAAACUAGGGCUCGAAAUUUGAAAAAAAAUAGAAA
Long non-coding RNA from Mytilus californianus (California mussel), 113 nucleotides. RefSeq lists it as uncharacterized. The record is from RefSeq and is a predicted model, not a curated record. The transcript is spliced from 3 exons. Lineage: Eukaryota; Metazoa; Mollusca; Bivalvia; Mytilida; Mytilidae.